Molecule: long non-coding RNA, 1961 nt
Organism: Dermochelys coriacea (leatherback sea turtle)
Lineage: Eukaryota; Metazoa; Chordata; Testudines; Dermochelyidae
Exons: 3
Source: RefSeq, a predicted model, not a curated record
AAAACAGUGUGUUUCCUUCACACUUGUCUAGCAUGCUCCGAAUCCAAGGAGGAAGAGUCAGAAGAGGAAGAUCGUGACCUGGAUCAGUUCAGGGAACAGAGGCUGCCAAGUGUGAGGCAACAGCAUUCCCCACUAGGCAGGAAGGUAUGUUGAUGGAGGUGGAGAACUGUUUUCACCCUUGAUGACUGGCUCAUCAAAGUUAAAAGGCUGUCUCCCACCCAAGGAGUUUCUUCCUCCAGGGUCCUCUCCUCUUAGUAGCCACAAAUGAACUCAGAAAGAACAGCAGCCAGCUUCCCUCUGAAGACACAGGAUAAAGCGGGGCCCCGUCUGCAGUAUGUUCUCCCUCUUCAGGGGAUCUACACUGCUUCCCUCAGGCCAGGUGCCAUGCCUGCUGUUGCUGUUGAGAAGCAGCAUCCUUCAUGAGGGCCUGGAGCUAGACAAGUGCAAUGGAGUGCACAGUGCAAAGUACCGUUUUCCCUGAGGAUCUCAUCUCAGCUGCCUCUCACAGAAGUGGUGACAGUGUGCAGCAUGAAGCAACAACAAGCCCAGCGGUGCACUGGCAAGCACUUGGAGCAAGAUUAGCCUACCCAGGAAGAGAUGGAGAUGGUGUUCAGCUGACACAGCACCUGGCUUUAAGUCCUGUCUAGGUAGCGUAGGGGAGGAGCCAGAAUGCUCACAAACGGCACCACAAACGGGAAUGCAACAAGGGGUGGAAAAACAGAGCAUCCUCAACUAGCAAACAAACGUGGAGCGCCCCACAUAACACGAAGCAUGUGACCAGGAUAUACAGGGGUCAGAAUCAUGUUCAGUCUCAAUCCAAGGAAAUUCAACACUUUGUGGAGUUUGCACAUUAUGGAAAACCCCAACCAACAAGCACAGCUGAUAUCCACAAGAGAGCCCCAGCCUUCUCCCCACUGCCACCUGCUAUUCCUGUAUCAGACCAGCAGAAGUAAAUCAAGAAGGUGAUUAUAUUAAAGCCUCUUACCCCAUUUCUACUAACUAUUUCAGUUUCCAUGGAGACAGGAGCAGGAAUGGAUAAACUUUGUCAAUGGCUGCUCAUACUGAGCACUGCAAAUGUUGGUUUCAACCAGCUCGUACACAGAAGGUUGGGAGUGAACAGUUUCAAUGGGGUUUUAUUUAGAGUGAUUUGGAUAAAAACAGUAGGGAAUCCAUUAAACCACACCUAACUUUUAUAGGUGUCUGAUCCAAGGGAGUGUGAAUUGACUAACUAGUCCCAACUGGCACAGUUUUGCCUGCAUAUUGGAACUUUAGGCAAUCAGAUGCCUGCUUUCACAAUGUGCAUUUUAUAUUUAGAUAAUUUGAAAAUACUCAUACCUGAAUGUUGGGUUCUACCCAGGGACCUGACACACCAAAUUAUAAAAUUUGGCCCAUAAUUUAAGUGUUCUUAAACCUAUGACCAAUAUAAAUGUUUCCAUAAUGUAAAAAAAAUGAAAAUAGUUAUGUUCAAACAAACACUGAAACAGUACCAAGAACCUGAAAGUGAAACUUUCUAUAAACACAAAUGAAACUGGCUUGAGUUUCAUAUUCCAAGCUGAGAAAAAUGCAAAAAGCAAACAAAGAUCAUACUGUGAAAUAUGCUGGAUUUUUAACAGUCAUUCUUUUAAUUCUCUCAUGUAAGGUGUAAUAUGUACCAUAGGCAUGACAGCUGUUUACAUAUAACAUAUGAUCUGUAAAUUGACAGUGUCUCUUUAACUUUAUAUGGUGUAACUGCCAAGUUUUGUGCAACUCUAUGUUCACAGAUGAGAGUCACAUGUGCAGCCAUCUGUGGUGACCAAUAGGCGCUGUUAUCAGUCUGAUGGUCUGUUUAUCCAGGCUUAUGUGCUGUGACAGAAUGAACCUUGUAUUCACACCCUACACUCUACUGUAAUAAUCUUUUGUGCAAAAUAUGCCUUGUAAGGUAUCAUUUAAAAGCUAAAAGAAAAGGAGUACUUGUGGCACCU